UACGUAGGGGCUAGCGUUAUCCGGAAUUACUGGGCGUAAAGGGUGCGUAGGUGGUUUCUUAAGUCAGAGGUGAAAGGCUACGGCUCAACCGUAGUAAGCCUUUGAAACUGGGAAACUUGAGUGCAGGAGAGGAGAGUGGAAUUCCUAGUGUAGCGGUGAAAUGCGUAGAUAUUAGGAGGAAUACCAGUGGCGAAGGCGACUUUCUGGACUUAUACUGACGCUGAGGAACGAAAGCGUGGGGAGCAAACAGGAUUAGAUACCCCGGUAGUCCCUGAGCGGGCUGG
Molecule: ribosomal RNA, 284 nt
Filed under: uncultured prokaryote
Description: partial 16S ribosomal RNA
Rfam family: Bacterial small subunit ribosomal RNA
Source: RNAcentral